Molecule: ribosomal RNA, 253 nt
Filed under: uncultured bacterium
Lineage: Bacteria
Description: partial 16S ribosomal RNA
Rfam family: Bacterial small subunit ribosomal RNA
Source: RNAcentral
UACGAAGGGGGCUAGCGUUGCUCGGAAUCACUGGGCGUAAAGCGCACGUAGGCGGCUUACUAAGUCAGGGGUGAAAUCCUGGAGCUCAACUCCAGAACUGCCUUUGAUACUGGUAAGCUCGAGUACGGGAGAGGUGAGUGGAACUGCGAGUGUAGAGGUGAAAUUCGUAGAUAUUCGCAAGAACACCAGUGGCGAAGGCGGCUCACUGGCCCGGUACUGACGCUGAGGUGCGAAAGCGUGGGGAGCAAACAGG